Molecule: transfer RNA, 74 nt
Filed under: Volvariella volvacea V23
Lineage: Eukaryota; Fungi; Basidiomycota; Agaricomycetes; Agaricales; Pluteaceae
Description: tRNA-Met (CAT) (tRNA-Met-CAT-2-1)
Rfam family: tRNA
About the family: Transfer RNA (tRNA) molecules are approximately 80 nucleotides in length. Their secondary structure includes four short double-helical elements and three loops (D, anti-codon, and T loops).
Source: RNAcentral
GCCUUCUUGGCUCAGUUGGUUAGAGCGCAGGUCUCAUAAUCCUGAGGUCAUGAGUUCGAACCUCAUAGAAGGCA